CAAAAACUUGCUGCGGCCAUUCUUCCUUCUGUCUUGGAGCUGGGGUGCGUCCGCAGGUUGGCUCUGUUCUCCUGGCACUGAAAGACAGCUGUGGAGAAGACCAAGCCCUGUUCAUCGGAGAACUUUUUUCCAGGUGAACCGCCUUCACUGGAUGAUAAAUACAUUUUAAAGAUUAUUGAGUUUUGGAGGAGUCUAGCAGACCUCCAAGAACAAAAAUUACUCUUCGGGAUAA
Molecule: long non-coding RNA, 232 nt
Filed under: Neogale vison (American mink)
Lineage: Eukaryota; Metazoa; Chordata; Mammalia; Carnivora; Mustelidae
Description: Neovison vison (American mink) lncRNA (ENSNVIG00000009540.1)
Source: RNAcentral